This 460-nucleotide ribosomal RNA is filed under the name uncultured bacterium. Its description in RNAcentral is "partial 16S ribosomal RNA". It matches the Rfam family "Bacterial small subunit ribosomal RNA", at positions 338 to 795 of the family's 1533-position model. The record is from RNAcentral.
CCUACGGGUGACUGCAGUGAGGAAUAUUGGUCAAUGGACGAGAGUCUGAACCAGCCAAGUAGCGUGAAGGAUGACUGCCCUAUGGGUUGUAAACUUCUUUUAUAUGGGAAUAAAAUGUUCCACGUGUGGGAUUUUGUAUGUACCAUAUGAAUAAGGAUCGGCUAACUCCGUGCCAGCAGCCGCGGUAAUACGGAGGAUCCGAGCGUUAUCCGGAUUUAUUGGGUUUAAAGGGAGCGUAGGUGGAUUGUUAAGUCAGUUGUGAAAGUUUGCGGCUCAACCGUAAAAUUGCAGUUGAAACUGGCAGUCUUGAGUACAGUAGAGGUGGGCGGAAUUCGUGGUGUAGCGGUGAAAUGCUUAGAUAUCACGAAGAACUCCGAUUGCGAAGGCAGUUCACUGGACUGCAACUGACACUGAGGCUCGAAAGUGUGGGUAUCAAACAGGAUUAGAUAACCUAGUAGUC